AACGCACAUUGCGCCCGCCAGCACUCUGGCGGGCAUGCCUGUCCGAGCGUCAUCGCAACCCUCGCGGCCCCCACGGGGGCGCGGUGCUGGGGGCCGGCCUGGGCCGCCCCCGAAACGCAGUGGCGACCUCGCCGCGGCCUCCCCUGCGCAGUAGCACACCUCUCGCACCGGAGCGCGGAGACGGUCACGCCGUAAAACGCCCCAGCUCUUGAAGUUGACCUCGGAUCAGGUAGGACUACCCGCUGAACUUAA
This 252-nucleotide unclassified non-coding RNA is filed under the name uncultured fungus. RNAcentral describes it as "partial contains 5.8S ribosomal RNA, internal transcribed spacer 2, and large subunit ribosomal RNA". Lineage: Eukaryota; Fungi. The record is from RNAcentral.